UCUCCUUGCCAACCAGCAGCUCCCUUGGUAGGGGCAUGCAGAAGACCUGAUGACACAAACCCUCCAAAGAGUUUCACCCUCACCACAACAGGUGGCUUCCUGCUCGGCAGCCCAUCCUGCAUCACUUCAGUGGACUUCUCUGACAUCUACUAGACCACAUUAAAUGAAUCACAGCCUUGAAACUGAACUGGAAGGACUUCCUUCAAGGAGCCAGCAUAUGAACUUGCUGCCUAUCUUUAGCAAGGAGAUGCAAAUGACAUCCACAAACCUCUUCUGCUGUAUACCUGGAUGAAAGCAAGGCUAGCUGUGUGUCCUAUGGCACCAAGGACUGAAAGAUUGUAAGAAGUAAGAUGACCUACAUCCAAAGUGAAAAGUUAUUCAGCCUCUGAAGAGAAGCAUUUUGUUUGGGGAUCUUCAAGUAUGCUUGUCAGCACCGAGAACUGGAAAAAAAUCUCUGAUUGUCCUGCAGCAAUGGCAUUAAAGGCUCCUCAUAACAUACAGAACCAGAAUUGUGCCAUAAUUUACUGAAAUUGAACAUUGCUCUGUGACUGCUAAUUUUCCAUCGAGAUGAUUCUGUCUCUAACCAAGAAAAGAAAAGUUUGUCUUCCUGACUGCUGACACUGCUGACCAAGCCCACCACCAGAUGCCUGGCUGCACACCCAGAGGGCAGCCGCUUCCCGUGGUCCUCUCGAAGAACUUCCCUUUUGCAAUGCAUGUUUAGCAAGUGGAUGAGUUUGUCUUUUCUGAUUUCUCUGCAAGCUCUGCAUUGCCCACCUGAACCAGUGCUUCAGAAGAACUAAUGGGAUCUCUGACCCUCCAACAUCCUCUUCCAGACUUUCACUUUCCUGGCUCCUUGCAGGGACAUGUAAUAAACGUGCUCUCCAGAGAAAGCCUGAUUUGUAGCCUUUACUGAUUUUGUGGUAUAAAUACUCCCUGCUUUCAAGCUCACCAACAUUAAAUCCCUGAACACAGAGUUAGGAAAAAAAGGCCCA
Molecule: long non-coding RNA, 992 nt
Filed under: Homo sapiens (human)
Lineage: Eukaryota; Metazoa; Chordata; Mammalia; Primates; Hominidae
Description: HSALNT0373481
Source: RNAcentral